Molecule: ribosomal RNA, 2188 nt
Filed under: Triticum aestivum (bread wheat)
Lineage: Eukaryota; Viridiplantae; Streptophyta; Magnoliopsida; Poales; Poaceae
Description: partial small subunit ribosomal RNA
Source: RNAcentral
AUGGCGACCACCACCAUACUGCUGCUGCUCAUCGUGCUGCCUUUGCUGGGUGCAGCGGCGUCGCCUCAGCGCGUGGCGCUGCCGGGGUGCCGGGACAGGUGCGGCAACAUCACCGUCCCCUACCCCUUUGGCAUCGGCGCCGGUUGCUACCGCGACGACGGCCAGCAGGGCUUCCAGCUCGAGUGCGACGUCUCCGGCCCCGGCAGCUCCCCGCCACGCCUCACCGUGUUCGGUUACAAUCACCGCCUGGGGCCCCUGUCCCUCGCGUCCGGCGAGGCCCGCGCCUACCUCAACGCGACGAGGGAGUGCUACAACUCCACCGGCGGGCUCCUUGACCGGAAAGGCACGUUCAUGUCCCUCGGCACCAGCCCUACCUCUUCUCGUCCACCAAGAACCGCCUGGUCGCGCUCGGCUGCCCCAACCUCAGCUUCUUCGUCGACGCCGCCGGCUACUACGUCAGCGGCUGCAUGUCCGUGUGCCGGCCGUCCCGGUACGCCCUGCCGGGCCCGUGCACCGGCGUCAGGUGCUGCCAGAGCGCGAUACCGCCCGGGAUCAGCUUCUUCGAGCCGCACCAGCGCAACUUCCCGCCGCAGCACGACGACAACUCCGCCUUCAUCAGCAACGCCACGUUGUGCCACUACGUGUUCCUCGUGGAUGCGGACUGGUUCACCUACAGCGACCGUGUCUUCCUCAACCGCACCGACGACUUCGACUGGGCCAUUCGUCUUUUUAUGCUUCGACGUCCCCAACGGCCCCGGGUACCGGUGCAACUGCUCCAGGGGCAACCCCUACCUCGACGGUGGAUGCACAGACAUCGACGAGUGCAAACUGAAAGGCGAAUAUCCGUGCUACGGGGUCUGCACAAACACAUAGGGAAGCUACACUUGCCAGUGCUCUCCCGGGAAAAGUGGAGAUGCCACCAGGACGGAUGGCAGCCGGCUACAGGAAUCUAAACUAAUGAUCGAGUAUGCGAUGUGUCAUGUCCAGGAGUCGGCGUGGGGGUGUUCUUGUCAGUGUUCAUGUGCUUCUGGCUCUACUUGGGGCUGCAGAAGAGAAAACUCACCAAGGCAAAGCAGAGCUUCUCCGAGCACAACGAAGGGAUCAUCCUGCAGCAGCAGAUGCGCUCCUACGGUGGCGCCGCCGGGGGAGGCGGUGGUGGGUUCAAGAUAUUCUCGGAAGAGAAGCUCAAGAAGGCGACCAACAACUUUGCCUCAGACCAGAUCCUCGGUCGCGGCGGCCACAACAUUGUCUACAGAGGUGUUCUCGAGGACAAGACCAUUGUGGCCAUCAAGAAGUCUAAAAUGAUGGAGGUCGCAGAGACAAAGGAGUUCGCGAGGGAGAUGCUCAUCCUUUCCCAGAUCAACCACUGGAAUGUCGUCAAGCUGCACGGCUGCUACCUCAAGGUAGAGGUGCCAAUGCUAGUCUAUGAGUACGUCUCCAACGACACUCUCUACCACUACAUCCAUGGCGGCGAGGGCCGUGACACCAACAAGGCACUCGACACCCGCCUGCAGAUAGCGACGGAGUCGACCGAGGCGCUGUCGUACAUGCACUCGUCGGCUCGCCACCGAUCCUCCAUGGCGAUGUCAAGAUGACCAACAUCUUGCUCGACCGCAGCCUCACCGCCAAAGUCUAUGACUUCGGGGCAUCGAAGCUAGCACCAAGUGACGAGGCUGAGAUUGUGACAUUGGUGAAAGGCACCUGCAGGUACCUGGACCCGGAGUACCUCAUGACAUGUCAGCUGACGGACAAGAGUGAUGUGUACAGUUUUGGUGUUGUUCUGCUCGAGCUCUUGACAGGGAAGAAGGUGCUCUGCUUCGAUGAGCCAGAGGAGGACAGGAGCCUCGUGUCCCGAUUCACGACGGCCAUGAAAGCAGGCCGGCACGGCGAGCUCCUUGAUGGUCGGGUGAGAUUGGAGAUGAGCCCGGAGGCGCUGGAAGAAGUAACGUACCUUGUGAUGCGCUGUGUGAGCAUGAUCAGAGAGGAGCAUCCGUCGAUGAAGGAAGUUGCAGAGAAAUUGGAAGCUCUGAGGAGGUAUCAAUGGAAACCAUGGGGUCAGGCCAGUGCUGAUCCGGAUGAGGGGCAAAGCUUGCUUGGUAGAGAGCAACAACGUGAUGUGAAUUAUAAGUUCAGACCGCAAGACGUGCUUGAUCUUGAAGAGGGUAGUACAUACACUUUUAGCUUGUAG